CAGUCGCCGCGGGAAUACAGAGGGUGCGAGCGUUAAUCGGAUUUACUGGGCGUAAAGCGUGCGUAGGCGGCUAAUUGAGUCGGAUGUGAAAUCCCCGAGCUUAACUUGGGAAUUGCAUUCGAUACUGGUUAGCUAGAGUGUGGGAGAGGAUGGUAGAAUUCCAGGUGUAGCGUUGAAAUGCGUAGAGAUCUGGAGGAAUACCGAUGGCGAAGGCAGCCAUCUGGCCUAACACUGACGCUGAGGUACGAAAGCAUGGGGAGCAAACAGGAUUAGAUACCCGGGUAGUCCCUGUCUCUUAUAC
This 301-nucleotide ribosomal RNA is filed under the name uncultured bacterium. RNAcentral's name for it is "partial 16S ribosomal RNA". It matches the Rfam family "Bacterial small subunit ribosomal RNA", at positions 509 to 807 of the family's 1533-position model. The record is from RNAcentral.